GACGAACGCUGGCGGCGUGCCUAAUACAUGCAAGUUGAGCGCUGAAGGUUGGUACUUGUACCGACUGGAUGAGCAGCGAACGGGUGAGUAACGCGUGGGUAAUCUGCCUUUGAGCGGGGGACAACAUUUGGAAACGAAAGCUAAUACCGCAUAAAAACUUUAAACACAAGUUUUAAGUUUGAAAGAUGCAAUUGCAUCACCCAAAGAUGAUCCCGCGUUGUAUUAGCUAGUUGGUGAGGUAAAGGCUCACCAAGGCGAUGAUACAUAGCCGAGCUGAGAGGGUGAUCGGCCACAAUGGGACUGAGACACGGCCCAAACUCCUACGGGAGGGAGCAGUAGGGGAUUUUCGGCAAUGGACGAAAGUCUGACCGAGCAAAGCCGGGGGAGUGAAGAAGGUUUUCGGAUCGUAAAACUCUGUUGGUAGGGAAGAACGUUGGUGAGAGUGGAACGCUCAUCAAGUGACGGUACCUACCCAGAAAGCGACGGCUAACUACGUG
RNAcentral lists this ribosomal RNA (497 nucleotides) under uncultured bacterium. RNAcentral describes it as "partial 16S ribosomal RNA". It matches the Rfam family "Bacterial small subunit ribosomal RNA", at positions 28 to 507 of the family's 1533-position model. The record is from RNAcentral.